RNAcentral lists this ribosomal RNA (383 nucleotides) under uncultured eukaryote. RNAcentral's name for it is "partial 18S ribosomal RNA". It matches the Rfam family "Eukaryotic small subunit ribosomal RNA", at positions 592 to 976 of the family's 1831-position model. The record is from RNAcentral.
CAAUAGCGUAUAUUAAAGUUGUUGCAGUUAAAAAGCUCGUAGUUGGAUUUCUGGUAGGAGUGACCGUUCCGAACUUGAUUGUUCGUGUAUUGUGUUUUCUCCAGCCAUCCUUGUGGAGAACUUUUCUUGCAUUAAUUUGUAGGGAUUGGGACCCGCAUCGUUUACUGUGAAAAAAUUAGAGUGGUUAAAGCAGGCAAUCGCUUGAAUACAUUAGCAUGGAAUAAUAAGAUAGGACUUUGGUACUAUUUUGUUGGUUUGCAUACCAAAUUAAUGAUCAACAGGAACAGUUUGAGGAUAUUCGUAUGAACAUGUCAGAGGUGAAAUUCUUGGAUUUUGAUCAGACGAACUACUGCGAAAGCAUUUAUCAAGGAUGUUUUCAUUAA